RNAcentral lists this long non-coding RNA (207 nucleotides) under Elaeis guineensis (African oil palm). RNAcentral's name for it is "long non-coding RNA (EGUI_LNC071276)". Lineage: Eukaryota; Viridiplantae; Streptophyta; Magnoliopsida; Arecales; Arecaceae. The record is from RNAcentral.
UCGCCGGCCAUCGUGCUCACAGGCACGGGAAAGAAGGGAGAGAAGAGAGGGAGAGGAGGGAGACCUUACCACAACCUCCGGUGACCCCCACCGGCGAGAAAUCGCGGCGAACACGGGUCGAGGAGUCGCGGCUUCAAACGAAAAAAUCGGAGAAAAAUCUCCGGCAAUCGGCGGCGACUGAAGGGUCUACCCAUAGAGGAGAGAGGG